RNAcentral lists this long non-coding RNA (989 nucleotides) under Vigna radiata. RNAcentral's name for it is "long non-coding RNA (VRAD_LNC006329)". The record is from RNAcentral. Lineage: Eukaryota; Viridiplantae; Streptophyta; Magnoliopsida; Fabales; Fabaceae.
AUUUGUUUUGGAACUUCUGAUCGAGAAAUUGCCACAAUCUUAGCUUAUUAUAAACAACAACUGAAACUAGGGAUGGCAGAAAAAUUCUUACCCGCGGGUAUCCGCGGGUAAAAUUCGCUACGGGUAUUUAGUACCCGUGGGUAGCGAGUAGCGGGUAUUUUAAUACUCGCUUGUUAACGGGCCAGGUUCAGGUAUCACCCUAUUCGUACCCGUGGGUACCCGCUACCCGUUUGAGAGGUGAAAUUACACUUUUAUCCUGUUAAGUUUUCUUACUUUCGAACACUCUCUGCCUUUACCUCUGCCAUCAAAUUCUUCAAACCCUAACUUCCUCUGAAAUCCCGAAUGCUGAGCUUACCUUUCUCUUCUCACCAAAUCCACAUACCUUAACUUUCUUUCUGUGCUGCUGGUUUUCUUGUGCGAAGAGGAACUAGAUCCAGCUGCUGGUUUUCUUUCUCACCAAAUACAGCUGAGGUUUUCUUUUCUUCCCUCUUUUUAAGGUACUUUUUUUCUUCUCAUUUCCUUCAUCCUUUUCUUUCUUUUUUAUCAGGAUGUUAGCAAAGCUCAAUAGGUUAACUUCAUUUUGAUUCUCUUCCCAUUCUUCUCCUUCUAGCUUUAAAAUUUCAAAGAUUAGUAUUACUGUAUCCUUCCUUAAUAUUUAUGAUUUUCGGGUUUAUCAGGAAUAUGCUUUAUCAUUAUUUAUAUAGGGCUUCCUAAUUGUGCCUGGUAAUGCACAAGUUUUGAUUUUUCCUUUUGAGUCCAUCCUUAUUUGUGUAAAGAACGUGUUGCUUGUCCUUGGGGAUGUUGAGAAGGACUUUGGAUUUGGGGUUAGUUCCCCUUUAUUGUUGAUGUGGUCUUUUCCCUAUUAAUGAAAAUGAGUGUUUUUAUUUUUACAUUGGUGUGGGGUUGGGGCCUGCUUUUGUUUGAAUGUGUAAAACCUUUUUCUGCUUUCUUAAGGUGUUCUACCUAAGUAGAAAUCAUUGAUAAUUUUG